This 242-nucleotide ribosomal RNA is filed under the name uncultured bacterium. RNAcentral's name for it is "partial 16S ribosomal RNA". It matches the Rfam family "Bacterial small subunit ribosomal RNA", at positions 524 to 762 of the family's 1533-position model. The record is from RNAcentral.
UACGGAGGGUGCAAGCGUUAUCCGGAUUUACUGGGCGUAAAGAGCUCGUAGGCGGUCUGUCGCGUCGGCUGUGAAAACCCGGAGCUCAACUCCGGGCCUGCAGUCGAUACGGGCAAACUGGAGUACUGCAGGGGAGACUGGAAUUCCUGGUGUAGCGGUGAAAUGACGCAGAUAUCAGGAGGAACACCGGUGGCGAAGGCGGGUCUCUGGGCAGUAACUGACGCUGGAGGAGCGGAAAGCGU